GUCCACGCCUUAAACGAUGAAUACUCGAUGUCAGCCCGCAAGGGUUGGUGUCCAAGCUAACGCAUUAAGUAUUCCACCUGGGAAGUACGAUCGCAAGGUUGAAACUCAAAGGAAUUGACGGGGCCCGCACAAGCAGUGGAGCAUGUGGUUUAAUUCGAUGCAACGCGAAGAACCUUACCUGGGUUUGAAAGACUCUGUAAACCGAUGAAAGUCGGGUAGUGUAGCAAUACACGCGGAGUACAGGUGCUGCAUGGCUGUCGU
This 261-nucleotide ribosomal RNA is filed under the name uncultured bacterium. RNAcentral's name for it is "partial 16S ribosomal RNA". It matches the Rfam family "Bacterial small subunit ribosomal RNA", at positions 793 to 1055 of the family's 1533-position model. The record is from RNAcentral.